Molecule: ribosomal RNA, 407 nt
Filed under: uncultured bacterium
Lineage: Bacteria
Description: partial 16S ribosomal RNA
Rfam family: Bacterial small subunit ribosomal RNA
Source: RNAcentral
AUUGAACGCUGGCGGCAGGCCUAACACAUGCAAGUCGAGCGGAGCUGCGGAGGGGUGAGUAAUGCCUAUGAAUCUGCCUGGUAGUGGGGGAUAAAGUCCAGAAACGGGCGCUAAUACCGCAUACUAUCAGAUGAGCCUAGGCCGGAUUAGCUAGUUGGUGGGGUAAGGGCCUACCAAGGCGACGAUCAGUACCUGGUCUGAGAGGAUGAUCAGUCACACUGGAACUGAGACACGGUCCAGACUCCUACGGGAGGCAGCAGUGGGGAAUAUUGGACAAUGGGCGCAAGCCGGAUGCAGCCAUGCCGCGUGUGUGAAGAAGGUCUUCGGAUGGUAAAGCACUUUAAGCUGGGAGGCGUUACCAACAGAAUAAGCACCGGCUAACUUCGUGCCAGCAGCCGCGGUAAUAC